ACGGAGCAAGACCGCGUGAGGGAAGAAGGUCUGUGGAUUGUAAACCUCUUUUGAUAGGGAAGAAGACAGUGACGGUACCUAUCGAAUCAGCCUCGGCUAACUCCGUGCCAGCAGCCGCGGUAAUACGGAGGAGGCAAGCGUUAUCCGGAAUUAUUGGGCGUAAAGAGUCCGUAGGUGGGUCACCCAGUCAGCUGUUAAAUAGUGAAGCUUAACUUCAUAGAGGCGGCUGAAACUGGUGGUCUAGAGAGUGGUAGGGGUAGAGGGAAUUUCCAGUGUAGCGGUGAAAUGCGUAGAUAUUGGAAAGAACACCGGUGGCGAAAGCGCUCUACUGGGCCAUUACUGACACUGAGGGACGAAAGCUAGGGGAGCG
RNAcentral lists this ribosomal RNA (370 nucleotides) under uncultured cyanobacterium. RNAcentral's name for it is "bacterial SSU rRNA". It matches the Rfam family "Bacterial small subunit ribosomal RNA", at positions 386 to 770 of the family's 1533-position model. The record is from RNAcentral. Lineage: Bacteria; Bacillati; Cyanobacteriota.